Salarias fasciatus (jewelled blenny) is the source of this 1586-nucleotide long non-coding RNA. RefSeq lists it as uncharacterized. NCBI's taxonomy places the organism in Eukaryota, Metazoa, Chordata, Actinopteri, Blenniiformes, Blenniidae. The record is from RefSeq and is a predicted model, not a curated record. The transcript is spliced from 3 exons.
GUGACGUGUGGGGAAAGUGUGACGGUUCUGCUCUCAGUAGUAUGUUGUUCUGAAAAGCUGCAGGCGCACAGACGAACAAUCUAAAAGACGUUAGCGUCAUCUGCAUACGUCUUUGUGUUCAUCGCACAUUAGAUCAAAACAUUCGGCGUCAUACAGCCUCAUUACAUCGGAGCUUCUUGGAUUUUGGUUCCUGCUGGAAGGCAGAGGAGUGUGGAACACGCCUCUCCAGGACUCCUGAUAAAAGAGGAAGUGGAGGAAGGAAGGAAGUGCUUUAACAUUCAGAGCGGCAUGAAUGAAAAGACGGCGGACGCUGCUGAAGCCCCCUCACCCAGUUUCACCAAGGAAGCAGGGCUUCGUCUCAGCAUGCAGUGGAUUUCCUGCCGGAUCCAUCCCAGGAGAGGAAGAUGUAAAUUUAGGACUGGAAUGUGGCGUUCUUCUCUGCGACGGCACAACGUGACGAAUGUUCCCAGACAGGACCGAGAACCAGAGCUGCUGUUCUGAGACUCUUCAGGACUCAGGGUUUCUCCUGUCAGGUAGAAUAAGGUUUUGAGUCACUCGACUGAGUUCCAGGAAGUGUAAACAUCCUACACUCUCGGCGUCCGCCCCCUGGUGGCCGGGAGUGGGACUGUUUGCACUGCCCGGCUCAGAUACGCCGCGACUCGGACUCUUUGAGAGAUGAGGAGCUUCCUGACGUCUGGUUUGGCUCUAGGUGUGAAGCCGUCGCUCCUCAAGCUUCAUAUCGAUGUGAGUAAAGAGCUCUUUAAGUCUCGGCCGCUCCGUGUUCCCCACAGGAAACCGGGAGCGGCUCGUCUCCCAUCGGCCCGUUUCCCCUGACCCCCCGACCCCGGUCACUGCAGUCCCAGCGGGAUGGACGCGCACACACACACACACACACACACACACACACACACACACACACACACACACACACACACACACACACACACACACACACACACACACACACACACACACACACACACACACAGAGGAUGUGACACAGUCCAGAGAAAGGAAAGGCUGCAGGAAGUGCUCAGAACAAACAUGAAAUAUGGACUCCUGUGAACUUUACAAAUACAUGAAGUGUGUGUGUUUGUGUCUGUGUGUGUGUGUCUCGCUCUCUCUGUCUCUGUCUCCCUCUCCCUCUCUUUCUCUCCCACACUCUCUCUCUCUCUCUCUCCAGUUGCAGGAAGUACAGUACAUACACAGGAAGCACAAUCAGUGGGUGUUAUCCAUGUGUGCGAUUCAAGAAUCUGUCCUGAGAGAAAAUAUGUCAAAGCAGAACUCCACCGUGAAGUUUGAGGCAAUGCUGGUUAAAUUUGACCAUGCACAUGGAAAUGCUGCAGAAUCGGGAAAUCAUGGAGGGUUUCCCCGGCCGAGCAGCUGCCUCCAACCUGCACAUCAUCUCGAGCAAUUAUAGUCUCUGGUUUAAGAAUAGGAGGUCAAUCCAGUUGAUAUGCAUGUGAAGCCAGGUGGCAGCAGAACAAUAGAGUUGAAGACCAGAACCAGACUUCAGGGGACAAAGUGACUCAUGACAGACCAAACCAAUCACUCAUCGAUUGCUCAGUUAUGCAGUGUGUCUUAAC